Molecule: ribosomal RNA, 476 nt
Filed under: Stylogomphus shirozui
Lineage: Eukaryota; Metazoa; Arthropoda; Insecta; Odonata; Gomphidae
Description: partial 16S ribosomal RNA
Rfam family: Bacterial large subunit ribosomal RNA
Source: RNAcentral
UUUAACGGCCGCGGUAUUUUGACCGUGCAAAGGUAGCAUAAUCAUUAGUCUUUUAAUAGAGGGCUGGAAUGAAAGGUUUGACGAGGUUCUAGCUGUCUCAUUUAAUUUGAGAUUAGAAUUUAACUUUUCAGUCAAAAGGCUGAGAUGAUAUUGGAAGACGAGAAGACCCUAUAGAGCUUUAUAGCUGUGGACUUAGUUAGUUUUUGUUUAUGAUUACUAAUUAUAGUCCUAGCUAUUUUGUUGGGGUGACAAAAAUAUAUAAUCAACUUUUUUAUUAAUUUUACAUUGAUGUAUGAGUUUAGGAUCCAAUCUUAUUGAUUACUAGAUUAAGUUACCUUAGGGAUAACAGCGUAAUCUUCCUUCAGAGUUCAUAUUUACAGGAAGGCUUGCGACCUCGAUGUUGGAUUAAGAAAAUAAUUAGGUGUAGCCGCUUAAUGUAUAGGUCUGUUCGACCUUUAAAUUCUUACAUGAUCUGA